RNAcentral lists this ribosomal RNA (468 nucleotides) under uncultured Treponema sp. Its description in RNAcentral is "bacterial SSU rRNA". It matches the Rfam family "Bacterial small subunit ribosomal RNA", at positions 335 to 795 of the family's 1533-position model. The record is from RNAcentral. Lineage: Bacteria; Pseudomonadati; Spirochaetota; Spirochaetia; Treponematales; Treponemataceae.
UUCCCUACGGGUGGCAGCAGCUAAGAAUAUUCCGCAAUGGACGAAAGUCUGACGGAGCGACGCCGCGUGGAUGACGAAGGCCGAAAGGUUGUAAAGUCCUUUUGUCGAUGAAGAAUAAGCGGUGGAGGGAAUGCCAUCGUGAUGACGUUAGUCGGCGAAUAAGCCCCGGCUAAUUACGUGCCAGCAGCCGCGGUAACACGUAAGGGGCGAGCGUUGUGCGGAAUUAUUGGGCGUAAAGGGUACGUAGGCGGGUCUGUAAGCCCGGCGUGAAAUCCUGCAGCUUAACUGUAGAGCUGCGCUGGGAACUGCGGAACUUGAGUCAUGGAAGGGAAGUUAGAAUUCCAGGUGUAGGGGUGAAAUCUGUAGAUAUCUGGAAGAAUACCGGUGGCGAAGGCGAACUUCUGGCCAAUGACUGACGCUGAGGUACGAAAGUGCGGGGAGCAAACAGGAUUAGAUACCCCGGUAGUC